Molecule: long non-coding RNA, 2658 nt
Organism: Cebus imitator (Panamanian white-faced capuchin)
Lineage: Eukaryota; Metazoa; Chordata; Mammalia; Primates; Cebidae
Exons: 5
Source: RefSeq, a predicted model, not a curated record
UGGAAACAAGAAGAGAUAAUCACACAUGCACAGAGCUAGCCAAGGAGGCAGAGAGAAUAUAAUAUACCCCAACCACCCCAACUAUUAAUAAUUCAAUAUGCAUUUACCAAGGCUUUGCUGAGGACACUGUGAAAGGACCUUUGGGACCCACAAAUGACCAAAGACCUCAUCCAGAACUAACACACGGUACUAUCUGAUACACAGUGCCAGAGAAGGAUAAAGGACUGUGAGAGAGAAGAAGUACGAAGGAUCAUUCCUUUUGGCCUGGGAUGAGAGGACAAAGAUGCUGGAAGACUUUGUGAAGGAAGCAGUAUUUGCACAGCAUUGUCUUGAGAGCUGGUGAGUCCUUGCCAGAAUGUACCCUUUAGAUGGAUUUGUCGCUGCAGACAUUCUGACACUUUCAGCUGGAAUGGAAAUUUAUCGAGGAUAGAGAAGUAAUGUCCAAAGAAAAUGUCAAUGACAAAAGCAAGUCUGUUCAGAACAAAAAGAGGUGAUCCUGGUCCCAGUGUGAAGGACAGACAUGGCUGUGGAAAGAUCUCAAGUGACCCAUUAGCCAGAAGAGGAAAUCAAGUUUGCUCUCAAGACUGAUACUGGGAAAAUUUCUCCAGGGCACUUAGAUGAGAAAAUGAAGACUUAAAGAAGUUAAAUGGUUUGUUCUAAUUACACAGCUAAUUAGUGAUUAACUAGAUUUUAUGUUCAAAACUUCUAAUUCCACAUCCCAUGCUCUCCUUGCCACAUCAACAACAUUAUGAAGUAUUCAUAGAGUGCCACAACACCUGCUUCGGUACUUGAGAAAUUGACUUUUCCUGCAAAUUACCCUGACCAGUGACCUUGUCUUGGCUACCAAAGAGUUUGGAGAAGGAGGGAGGCUGUAUGUGUGGCCGUGCCCCAGCCCAUGAUUGGUAUUUAGCUCUUUGAAGUUCACAGUUAUCUAUUUAAUGUACAGACAUUCUGAAACAAAUGCCACAUUAUAAUCAUCAACUGGAAAGCCCAACUAUCGCCUCUUAGGGAAAUAACAUUUGAUCUUACAAGGGAUGGACUGUGGUAUAAUUUAAGAGCUUUCAAUGAUAAUUUCUUAAAGAAGGGGACAUUUGUUAGAUUUGUCUUUUUGCUGUGAGGGACCAUCUCGGUUAGGUGUCAGCAUAAUUAUGCAAGAGUGAUAGGACGGAAGACAGAGACAGUCAGUGGUUUGUAAUUGGUGUCUUUCAAAGGUGCUUCUUUUGCAGGAAAAUUUAAGAUCCAUGCCUCCUGCCACACAAGCAUUGGAAGAGAUCAAAGGCCACCCCUGGAAGCUCAAGAGGUAAAAUUAUAUUUUUAUCCUUUAGCUUUGAUUUUUGGCGGCUUACCACAUUUUUAAAAAAAUUAAUUGCUCUGUCCAGCCAGCAGGUGUUAGCCCUCAAGUGUGGGCACAAGGGCCGGCUGCUGGGCAGGCAACUUAAAGACCCCAUAACUCACCGCAACCUUGAGCUCCCUCAGAUUGGUCUAGGAGAAAGUUCUAAAAGUACUUCAAGGCCAGAUGACAUGGGAACCUGUGUCCCUGUCAAAUAUCAAAGAAAAACAGUUAGACUGUAAAAAUGUAAACUUAUAAAGCAUGCACUUAAUUUUGACAAGCUUUUAGUAUCGAGUUGCAGAUUUUAGGCAAUAAGGCAGCCGAGGCUAAAAUCGGCCGUAGGAAGCAGAACCUGAAAGUUCGUUUAGAAUUAUGUGGGGAGACCCUGACUCAUUUUGUUUUCCACAUCUGUUCCGUUUAAUUUGGACAAGAAGAAAAGUUUGAUGCACAACUUAAGGAAUGAAAUCUCCUUUUUUUACCUGUGAUUCUUAAAACUCCCAAGAUUUUUCUUGCUUUUCAUGAAGUCACAGGAAGGGUAACUUUCAUUUUGUAAUUGAUUAGAACACUGUUAAAAUAGUGCUUCAAAAUUGUCAUGCUGCAAAUGAAAACACAAGGGUUUUUUUUUUUUUUCCCCCCUCUUUAAACAUCUGAAAGAACAGGGCUUAAUAAAAUAUUUGACCUCAUACUGAGUCAGCUUAGAAUGUCUCUAGAAAGCCUUGUUUCAUCAGGGCCAUCUGUGCCAGUAUAUGGAUGUGGGGUUAUGAAGGCUAUGGCACAGAGAACAUCUAACAGCCAUUGUUCUGAUGAAGAGACUGGCAUUGAAGGCUCUUGCACAGCUUUAGUGUGUCUCUGGGUAUAUAGAUGCCUUGUGGAUGUGUCAGCUUGUUAGAUUGCAACAAAGUACUAAUGAGUUUGCAAUAGUUGGUAUGCCAGGCAGUUACUUUUAUCUCGCCAAUGACCACUCUCUCAUUUCAAUGCAUCAGGGAAGGACCAGGAGAGUCCAUGGGAGGCUAUGGGUAAAUAUCAAAACCUAAGCUUUCUACUGAUACCUCCGACUCACAACUCGCUGGUUCUGGGGAAGCAGAGCGACUGCUCUGUAUAAAAUAGCAAACUGAGAAAGAUAUUGAUAAGUCAUCAAAGCUACCUGCUUGCUUGGUGGCCAAAUUGUCUUCUGCCCAGAAGUUCUGAGAGUUAAUGAAAGUGAUCAUCAGAAGUGCCCAGUCCAGCUCAGGCCAAUCCAUAUUGCUGGCAACUAAACUAUUUUUAAAGUUCUUCAGGCUUUGAAAAAUAUUCUGACUCGUGGCCGGGCCCAGUGGCUCAAGCCUGUA